RNAcentral lists this ribosomal RNA (418 nucleotides) under uncultured bacterium. RNAcentral describes it as "bacterial SSU rRNA". It matches the Rfam family "Bacterial small subunit ribosomal RNA", at positions 355 to 776 of the family's 1533-position model. The record is from RNAcentral.
UGGGGAAUUUUGCGCAAUGGGCGGAAGCCUGACGCAGCAACGCCGCGUGGAGGAUGAAGGCCUUCGGGUCGUAAACUCCUGUCAGUGGGGACGAAUGCCUCGCAAGAGGUUUGACUGUACCCGUUGAGGAAGCCACGGCUAACUCCGUGCCAGCAGCCGCGGUAAUACGGAGGUGGCAAGCGUUGUUCGGAAUUACUGGGCGUAAAGGGCGCGUAGGCGGCUAGGCAAGUCAGGUGUGAAAGCCCCGGGCUUAACUCGGGAAUUGCACCUGAAACUGCCUUGCUUGAGUCCUGGAGGGGGUAGCGGAAUUCCCAGUGUAGCGGUGAAAUGCGUAGAUAUUGGGAGGAACACCUGCGGCGAAGGCGGCUACCUGGACAGUGACUGACGCUGAGGCGCGAAAGCUAGGGUAGCGAACGGG